GAGGAUGCGAGCGUUAUCCGGAUUUAUUGGGUGUAAAGGGAGCGUAGGCGGGAAAGCAAGUCAGAAGUGAAAACUAUGGGCUCAACCCAUAGCCUGCUUUUGAAACUGUUUUUCUUGAGUGAGUCAGAGGCAAGCGGAAUUCCCAGUGUAGCGGUGAAAUGCGUAGAUAUUGGGAGGAACACCAGUGGCGAAGGCGGCUUGCUGGGGCUUUACUGACGCUGAGGCUCGAAAGCGUGGGGAGCAAA
This 245-nucleotide ribosomal RNA is filed under the name uncultured bacterium. RNAcentral's name for it is "partial 16S ribosomal RNA". It matches the Rfam family "Bacterial small subunit ribosomal RNA", at positions 528 to 772 of the family's 1533-position model. The record is from RNAcentral.